UCUCCAUUUUUCAUUCUCUCCCCGUUGUAUCCUCUCAACACAGCCUCUGUUCCAUUAAAAGUAUCGUUUUUGACUUUUUGUUCUUCUUAUUUGACCAUUCGUCUUAUUCAAAAUUUGUUAUAAAUAUUAUUUAUUUGGUUAUGACUUGUUUAGCCAAUAAAAAUAUUUUAACCAUGUUUUAUUUCUUUUACUAUUUGCAUAAAAAUUGCAUAAGACGAACGGUCAAACAAUAAAAUCUAAAAAUAAAAAAUGACACUUUUAAUGGCACAGAGGGAAUAGAUAUUAAUAAAAACUAAUAAUAACUCAAACGUCCCAACAUGUAAGAGGUAUUUUUCUAAUACCAAUUUUAAAAAUAAAAAAAAUUAUGAGAGUUUCAUAUACAUUAAAUAAGCUGGCAUAACAUAAGAAUGAAGUGAGAGAUGAUAAAAAUUUU
RNAcentral lists this long non-coding RNA (433 nucleotides) under Sorghum bicolor (sorghum). RNAcentral's name for it is "long non-coding RNA (SBIC_LNC000493)". Lineage: Eukaryota; Viridiplantae; Streptophyta; Magnoliopsida; Poales; Poaceae. The record is from RNAcentral.